UUCGACCUCAGAGCAGGUGAGACUACCCGCUGAAUUUAAGCAUAUUACUAAGCGGAGGAAAAGAAACUAACUAGGAUUCCCUCAGUAGCUGCGAGCGAACAGGGAAGAGCCCAGCACCGAAUCCCGCGGCCGAUACCGGACGCCGGGAAAUGUGGUGUUAGGGAGGGUCCAUUAUCCCGAGAUCAUGCGGUGCGUCCAAGUCCUUCUUGAACGGGGCCACAGCCCAUAGAGGGUGCCAGGCCCGUAGUGACCGCUGCUGAUCGCGGGAGG
This 270-nucleotide ribosomal RNA is filed under the name Hypera postica (alfalfa weevil). RNAcentral describes it as "partial 28S ribosomal RNA". It matches the Rfam family "Eukaryotic large subunit ribosomal RNA", at positions 1 to 248 of the family's 3401-position model. The record is from RNAcentral. Lineage: Eukaryota; Metazoa; Arthropoda; Insecta; Coleoptera; Curculionidae. RNAcentral also lists the same sequence under 1 other name.